UACGGAGGAUCCGAGCGUUAUCCGGAUUUAUUGGGUGUAAAGGGUGCGUAGACGGGAGAACAAGUUAGUUGUGAAAUCCCUCGGCUUAACUGAGGAACUGCAACUAAAACUAUUUUUCUUGAGUGCUGGAGAGGAAAGUGGAAUUCCUAGUGUAGCGGUGAAAUGCGUAGAUAUUAGGAGGAACACCAGUGGCGAAGGCGACUUUCUGGACAGUAACUGACACUGAGGCACGAAAGCGUGGGGAGCAAACAGGAUUAGAUACCCUGGUAGUCCCUGAG
Molecule: ribosomal RNA, 278 nt
Filed under: uncultured prokaryote
Description: partial 16S ribosomal RNA
Rfam family: Bacterial small subunit ribosomal RNA
Source: RNAcentral